UCCAGAGGAGACAGUGUCAGGAGGGGCUGGUCACAGAGACCUGCCCUGUGCAGGGCUCUAAUCUAGCACUGGAGAUUCAAGGGCAGACAACCCUGCCUGCUCCCCAGGGUCCAGUGUACCCUGGAGAUCCCCGCAACGGGGAUGGUGCUGAGUAGCCAGUCCUCAAGCCUCAAGAUUCCCAGAAAUCUGCUCCUUUGGAACCUCCCCUUGGCUCCAUCUCAGCCCCUUGAACCCUGACCCCAGUCAUCAACUCCACUGCCCUGUGGGGUCCUCAA
RNAcentral lists this long non-coding RNA (275 nucleotides) under Homo sapiens (human). RNAcentral describes it as "HSALNT0169444". Lineage: Eukaryota; Metazoa; Chordata; Mammalia; Primates; Hominidae. The record is from RNAcentral.